AAUGCCCAUGCUGAAAAUAAUCUUGCCAUGCAGCAAGAUGGUCCUGAACCAAGUUUACGACUUCACCAAGUCACUAAGCAGAAUGCUCAUGCUCAAAAUAGCAAUGCAACCAAGCCAUGUGGUCAUCACCAAGUCACUAAGCAGGUAAAAAUAGUUAAGCCAACUCCUCCAGCACAACCACAAAGCAUUGGGCAGUGAGGAUUUGAAAAGUGAGUGCAUUAAAGGAGCUAGGAGUGGCUGGGUAGUUGAGGAUUUGAAAAGGGAGUGCACUGGAGGAGUCAUGAGCAGUUGAUGAAUCUAUCUUUGAAUGAACAAAUAUUCUGGAUUAUGUAUAGAUUUUAGCUUCAUAGAGAAAAAUAGUUCUUGUCUAUAGGAUAUUUUCUUAUUUAUUUUCAUCAUUGCAUGUUUCAUAUGAAUGUUUGAUAUUAUUCAGCUGUGAACUCCACGUACUUUUAGUGGAGACAUUGUUCGUGCUAAUUAAUGCAUUUGAUGUUGUUAC
This is a long non-coding RNA of Triticum dicoccoides, 499 nucleotides long. RefSeq lists it as uncharacterized. The record is from RefSeq and is a predicted model, not a curated record. The transcript is spliced from 4 exons. Lineage: Eukaryota; Viridiplantae; Streptophyta; Magnoliopsida; Poales; Poaceae.